RNAcentral lists this ribosomal RNA (495 nucleotides) under uncultured bacterium. Its description in RNAcentral is "partial 16S ribosomal RNA". It matches the Rfam family "Bacterial small subunit ribosomal RNA", at positions 28 to 507 of the family's 1533-position model. The record is from RNAcentral.
GACGAACGCUGGCGGCGUGCCUAAUACAUGCAAGUAGAACGCUGAAGGAGGAGCUUGCUUCUCUGGAUGAGUUGCGAACGGGUGAGUAACGCGUAGGUAACCUGCCUGGUAGCGGGGGAUAACUAUUGGAAACGAUAGCUAAUACCGCAUAAUAGCAGUUGUUGCAUGACAACUGUUUGAAGGGUGCAAUUGCACCACUACCAGAUGGACCUGCGUUGUAUUAGCUAGUUGGUGGGGUAACGGCUCACCAAGGCGACGAUACAUAGCCGACCUGAGAGGGUGAUCGGCCACACUGGGACUGAGACACGGCCCAGACUCCUACGGGAGGCAGCAGUAGGGAAUCUUCGGCAAUGGACGGAAGUCGGACCGAGCAACGCCGCGUGAGUGAAGAAGGUUUUCGGAUCGUAAAGCUCUGUUGUAAGAGAAGAACGAGUGUGAGAGUGGAAAGUUCACACUGUGACGGUAUCUUACCAGAAAGGGACGGCUAACUACGUG